AUUGAACGCUGGCGGCAGGCUUAACACAUGCAAGUCGAGCGGGGUGAUGGUGCUUGCACUAUCACUUAGCGGCGGACGGGUGAGUAAUGCUUAGGAAUCUGCCUAUUAGUGGGGGACAACAUCUCGAAAGGGAUGCUAAUACCGCAUACGUCCUACGGGAGAAGGCAGGGGAUCACUUGUGACCUUGCGCUAAUAGAUGAGCCUAAGUCGGAUUAGCGAGUUGGUGGGGUAAAGGCCUACCAAGGCGACGAUCUGUAGCGGGUCGGAGAGGAUGAUCCGCCACACUGGGACUGAGACACGGCCCAGACUCCUACGGGAGGCAGCAGUGGGGAAUAUUGGACAAUGGGGGGAACCCUGAUCCAGCCAUGCCGCGUGUGUGAAGAAGGCCUUAUGGUUGUAAAGCACUUUAAGCGAGGAGGAGGCUCUUUUGGUUAAUACCCAAGAUGAGUGGACGUUACUCGCAGAAUAAGCACCGGCUAACUCUGUGCCAGCCGCCGCCGUAA
This 503-nucleotide ribosomal RNA is filed under the name uncultured bacterium. RNAcentral describes it as "partial 16S ribosomal RNA". It matches the Rfam family "Bacterial small subunit ribosomal RNA", at positions 30 to 523 of the family's 1533-position model. The record is from RNAcentral.